CGCUGGCGGCGUGCCUAAUACAUGCAAGUCGAGCGGAGUUAGAGAAGCUUGCUUCUCUUAAUUUAGCGGCGGACGGGUGGAGUAACACGUGGGCAAUCUGCCCGUAAGACUGGGAUAACUCCGGGAAACCGGGGCUAAUACCGGAUAAUACUGACUCUCUCCUGAGAGUCAGUUGAAAGAUGGUUUCGGCUAUCACUUACGGAUGAGCCCGCGGCGCAUUAGCUAGUUGGUAGGGUAAUGGCCUACCAAGGCGACGAUGCGUAGCCGACCUGAGAGGGUGAUCGGCCACACUGGGACUGAGACACGGCCCAGACUCCUACGGGAGGCAGCAGUAGGGAAUCUUCCGCAAUGGACGAAAGUCUGACGGAGCAACGCCGCGUGAGUGAAGAAGGUUUUCGAAUCGUAAAACUCUGUUGUUAGGGAAGAACACGUACGAGAGUAACUGCUCGUACCUUGACGGUACCUAACCAGAAAGCCACGGCUAACUACGUG
RNAcentral lists this ribosomal RNA (492 nucleotides) under uncultured bacterium. Its description in RNAcentral is "bacterial SSU rRNA". It matches the Rfam family "Bacterial small subunit ribosomal RNA", at positions 34 to 507 of the family's 1533-position model. The record is from RNAcentral.